Molecule: ribosomal RNA, 661 nt
Filed under: Rhizobiales bacterium N2yML6
Lineage: Bacteria; Pseudomonadati; Pseudomonadota; Alphaproteobacteria; Hyphomicrobiales
Description: bacterial SSU rRNA
Rfam family: Bacterial small subunit ribosomal RNA
Source: RNAcentral
AACGCCCCUUCGGGGGAGUGGCAGACGGGUGAGUAACACGUGGGAAUCUACCCAGUACUACGGAAUAACUCAGGGAAACUUGAGCUAAUACCGUAUACGCCCUACGGGGGAAAGAUUUAUCGGUAUUGGAUGAGCCCGCGUCUGAUUAGCUAGUUGGUGAGGUAAUGGCUCACCAAGGCGACGAUCAGUAGCUGGUCUGAGAGGAUGAUCAGCCACACUGGGACUGAGACACGGCCCAGACUCCUACGGGAGGCAGCAGUGGGGAAUAUUGGACAAUGGGCGCAAGCCUGAUCCAGCCAUGCCGCGUGAGUGAUGACGGCCCUAGGGUUGUAAAGCUCUUUCAACGGUGAAGAUAAUGACGGUAACCGUAGAAGAAGCCCCGGCUAACUUCGUGCCAGCAGCCGCGGUAAUACGAAGGGGGCUAGCGUUGUUCGGAAUAACUGGGCGUAAAGCGCACGUAGGCGGACUAUUAAGUCAGGGGUGAAAUCCCGGGGCUCAACCCCGGAACUGCCUUUGAUACUGGUAGUCUAGAGUUCGAGAGAGGUGAGUGGAAUUCCGAGUGUAGAGGUGAAAUUCGUAGAUAUUCGGAGGAACACCAGUGGCGAAGGCGGCUCACUGGCUCGAUACUGACGCUGAGGUGCGAAAGCGUGGGGAGCAAACA